RNAcentral lists this ribosomal RNA (468 nucleotides) under uncultured bacterium. Its description in RNAcentral is "partial 16S ribosomal RNA". It matches the Rfam family "Bacterial small subunit ribosomal RNA", at positions 28 to 507 of the family's 1533-position model. The record is from RNAcentral.
GACGAACGCUGGCGGCGGGCUUAACACAUGCAAGUCGAACGGAAAGGUCCUGCUUUUGUGGGGUGCUCGAGUGGCGAACGGGUGAGUAACACGUGAGUAACCUGCCUUUGACUUUGGGAGAACUUUUGGAAACUGGGGCUAAUACCGGAUAUGAGCUUCUGCUUCAUGGCGGGGGUUGGAAAGUUUCGGCGGUUGGGGUUGGAUUUGCGGCUUAGCCGCUUGUUGGUGGGGUGGUGGCUUACCAAGGCGUCGACGGUUAGCCCGCCUGAGAGGGUGACCGGCCACAUUGGGACUGGGAAACGACCCGGACUCCUACGCCAGGCCGCAGUUGCGAAUAUUGUCUAAUGGGCGGGACGCUCUUGCGGCACCCCCGCUUUCGGGAUGAAGGCAUUAUGGGUUAAGCCCACAAUCGCCUGUUGCGCAGCGUGAAUAGCAGUAAUAGGGAGAGAAACACCGGCUAACUACGUA